UGAAAAUGCCCUUUAAACCACUUUUGGUAUCAAGGAGCUGGUAUCAAGCACACUACACAGUAGCUCAUAACACCUUGCACAGCCACACCCCUACGGGAAACAGCAGUAACAAAAAUUAAGCAAUAAACGAAAGUUCGACUAAGUUAUGCUAAUUAGGGCUGGUCAACUUCGUGCCAGCCACCGCGGUCAUACGAACAGCCCAAAUUAAUAGAACCCGGCGUAAAGAGUGGUUAUGACAUUCACACACUAAAGUUAAAUUUAACCUUAGCUGUAAAAAGCUAAAGGUCUAAAAUUAAAUACCCUACGAAAGUGACUUUAACAAAUCAGAAUCCACGAUAGCUAAGAUACAAACUGGGAUUAGAUACCCCACUAUGCCUAGCCCUAAACCUAGUUAAUUAGUAACAAAAUUACUCGCCAGAGAACUACGAGCAAAAGCUUAAAACUCAAAGGACUUGGCGGUGCUUUAUAUCCACCUAGAGGAGCCUGUUGUAUAAUCGAUAAACCCCGCUAAACCCUACCAUCAUUUGCUAAUCCAGUCUAUAUACCGCCAUCUUCAGCAAACCCUUAAAAGGAACCAAAGUAAGCUUAAUUAUACUUAAUAAAAACGUUAGGUCAAGGUGUAACUUAUAUGAUGGAAACUAAUGGGCUACAUUCUCUUUAAAAGAGUACUACGAACACCCUUAUGAAAAGUA
This 692-nucleotide ribosomal RNA is filed under the name Rhynchocyon udzungwensis (grey-faced sengi). Its description in RNAcentral is "partial 12S ribosomal RNA". It matches the Rfam family "Bacterial small subunit ribosomal RNA", at positions 173 to 1269 of the family's 1533-position model. The record is from RNAcentral. Lineage: Eukaryota; Metazoa; Chordata; Mammalia; Macroscelidea; Macroscelididae.